This 465-nucleotide ribosomal RNA is filed under the name Vreelandella stevensii. RNAcentral's name for it is "partial 16S ribosomal RNA". It matches the Rfam family "Bacterial small subunit ribosomal RNA", at positions 338 to 795 of the family's 1533-position model. The record is from RNAcentral. Lineage: Bacteria; Pseudomonadati; Pseudomonadota; Gammaproteobacteria; Oceanospirillales; Halomonadaceae.
CCUACGGGGGGCAGCAGUGGGGAAUAUUGGACAAUGGGGGGAACCCUGAUCCAGCCAUGCCGCGUGUGUGAAGAAGGCCCUCGGGUUGUAAAGCACUUUCAGUGAGGAAGAACGCCUGGUGGUUAAUACCCAUCAGGAAAGACAUCACUCACAGAAGAAGCACCGGCUAACUCCGUGCCAGCAGCCGCGGUAAUACGGAGGGUGCGAGCGUUAAUCGGAAUUACUGGGCGUAAAGCGCGCGUAGGUGGCUUGAUAAGCCGGUUGUGAAAGCCCCGGGCUCAACCUGGGAACGGCAUCCGGAACUGUCAAGCUAGAGUGCAGGAGAGGAAGGUAGAAUUCCCGGUGUAGCGGUGAAAUGCGUAGAGAUCGGGAGGAAUACCAGUGGCGAAGGCGGCCUUCUGGACUGACACUGACACUGAGGUGCGAAAGCGUGGAUAGCAAACAGGAUUAGAUACCCUGGUAGUC